This 430-nucleotide ribosomal RNA is filed under the name uncultured bacterium. RNAcentral's name for it is "bacterial SSU rRNA". It matches the Rfam family "Bacterial small subunit ribosomal RNA", at positions 34 to 507 of the family's 1533-position model. The record is from RNAcentral.
CGCUGGCGGCGUGCCUAACACAUGCAAGUCGAACGAUCCCGCAAGGGAGAGUGGCGGAAGGGUGAGUAACACGUGGGAAUCUACCUCCUCGCAGGGAACAACCUCUCGAAAGAGAGGCUAAUACCCAAAGGGUCAGAAAUGAUCAGAGUCGAAAGGCGUGAGGAGAGGAGCCCGCGGCCCAUCAGCUAGUUGGUGAGGUAAUGGCUUACCAAGGCUACGACGGGUAGGGGAUCUGAGAGGAUGUCCCCCACACUGGAACUGAAACACGGUCCAGACGCCUACGGGUGGCAGCAGUGAGGAAUAUUGGACAAUGGGCGAAAGCCCGAUCCAGCAACGCCGCGUGGAGGAUGAAGGCCUUCGGGUCGUAAACUUCUUUAGAGGGAGACGAGAAAGGACGGUAUCCCUAGAAUAAGCGACGGCAAACUACGUG